This 330-nucleotide ribosomal RNA is filed under the name Triticum aestivum (bread wheat). RNAcentral describes it as "partial small subunit ribosomal RNA". The record is from RNAcentral. Lineage: Eukaryota; Viridiplantae; Streptophyta; Magnoliopsida; Poales; Poaceae.
AUGGCCAACCCCUGUGAGCUGCCGGAGGAGAGCAGCGAUGCAGGGGAGGUGCUGGGGUAUGUCAAGGUCAUGACGAACGACCAAAUGGAGGCGCUCCAGAAACAGAUCUCCAUCUAUGCCACCAUCUGCGAGCAGCUCGUCGAGAUGCACUGCGUCUUCACCCAGCACCAGUGUAGAAGUGCAUGCUCUAGCCAAUGCAACCAAAAAACCGAUCUGAUGAAAGAGACUAGGCAGCACAUUAUACGUCAACACUCCCUCUCACGUGUGGCUCCCAGGCCUAAACGUGGACCGAAAGGGGGCUGCAAUUUAAUUGCGCCAGCCGGGUCUUGA